UGCCCAGUGACCCCAGUUAAACGGCCGCGGUAUCCUGACCGUGCAAAGGUAGCAUAAUCACUUGUUCUCUAAAUAGGGACUUGUAUGAAUGGCCCCACGAGGGUUUAACUGUCUCUUACUUUCAAUCAGUGAAAUUGACAUUCCCGUGAAGAGGCGGGAAUAAAAAAAUAAGACGAGAAGACCCUAUGGAGCUUUAAUUAACUAAUUUACAAAUUAUAAUAUCAAUCUACAAGAAAUAAAUAAAAAUUAACUAAAUUAGCAAUUUAGGUUGGGGCGACCUCGAAAUAAAAACUAACUUUCGAGAAAACUCACUAAGGCCUACAAGCCAAAGUUAUCCAAUCAUACAUUGAUCCGCUAUAAGCGAUCAACGAAAUAAGUUACCCUAGGGAUAACAGCGCAAUCCUAUUUAAGAGUCCAUAUCGACAAUUAGGGUUUACGACCUCGAUGUUGGAUCAGGACAUCCCAAUGGUGUAGCAGCUAUUAAUGUGUUCGUUUGUUCAACGAUUAA
RNAcentral lists this ribosomal RNA (508 nucleotides) under Plecotus teneriffae. Its description in RNAcentral is "partial 16S ribosomal RNA". It matches the Rfam family "Bacterial large subunit ribosomal RNA", at positions 1860 to 2591 of the family's 2925-position model. Lineage: Eukaryota; Metazoa; Chordata; Mammalia; Chiroptera; Vespertilionidae. The record is from RNAcentral.